This 255-nucleotide ribosomal RNA is filed under the name uncultured bacterium. Its description in RNAcentral is "partial 16S ribosomal RNA". It matches the Rfam family "Bacterial small subunit ribosomal RNA", at positions 524 to 776 of the family's 1533-position model. The record is from RNAcentral.
UACAGAGGGUGCAAGCGUUUAAUCGAAAUUACUGGGCGUAAAGGGUGCGUAGGUGGUUAAAUAAGUUAGAUGUGAAAGUCCUGGGCUUAACCUGGGGAUUGCGUCUGAUACUGUUGAGCUAGAGUUCUGUAGAGGAAGGUGGAAUUUCCGGAGUAGCGGUGAAAUGCGUAGAGAUCCGGAAGAACACCAGUGGCGAAGGCGGCCCGCUGGGCAGUGGCUGACGCUGAGGCGCGACAGCGUGGGGGAGCAAACAGG